AGAGUUUGAUCAUGGCUCAGAUUGAACGCUGGCGGCAUGCCUAACACAUGCAAGUCGAACGGAAACGAUGGGAGCUUGCUCCCAGGCGUCGAGUGGCGGACGGGUGAGUAAUACAUAGGAAUCUGCCCAGUAGCGGGGGACAACCUGGUGAAAACCAGGCUAAUACCGCAUACGACCUACGGGUGAAAGCAGGGGAUCUUCGGACCUUGCACUACUGGAUGAGCCUAUGUCAGAUUAGCUUGUUGGUGGGGUAAUGGCCUACCAAGGCGACGAUCUGUAGCUGGUCUGAGAGGACGAUCAGCCACACUGGGACUGAGACACGGCCCAGACUCCUACGGGAGGCAGCAGUGGGGAAUAUUGCACAAUGGGCGCAAGCCUGAUGCAGCAAUGCUGCGUGUGUGAAGAAGGCCUGCGGGUUGUAAAGCACUUUCAGUGGGGAGGAAACAGUUGCGGGUUAAUAUCCCGUGGCCUUGACGUUACCCACAGAAGAAGCACCGGCUAACUCUGUGCCAGCAGCCGCGGUAAUACAGAGGGUGCGAGCGUUAAUCGGAAUUACUGGGCGUAAAGCGCGCGUAGGCGGCUUGGUCAGUCGGAUGUG
Molecule: ribosomal RNA, 598 nt
Filed under: uncultured Gammaproteobacteria bacterium
Lineage: Bacteria; Pseudomonadati; Pseudomonadota; Gammaproteobacteria
Description: bacterial SSU rRNA
Rfam family: Bacterial small subunit ribosomal RNA
Source: RNAcentral